RNAcentral lists this ribosomal RNA (253 nucleotides) under uncultured bacterium. Its description in RNAcentral is "partial 16S ribosomal RNA". It matches the Rfam family "Bacterial small subunit ribosomal RNA", at positions 524 to 776 of the family's 1533-position model. The record is from RNAcentral.
UACAGAGGUCCCAAGCGUUGUUCGGAUUCAUUGGGCGUAAAGGGUGCGUAGGUGGCGUGGUAAGUCGGGUGUGAAAUCUCGGGGCUCAACCCCGAAACUGCAUUCGAUACUGCCUUGCUAGAGUACUGGAGAGGAGAUUGGAAUUUACGGUGUAGCAGUGAAAUGCGUAGAUAUCGUAAGGAAGACCAGUGGCGAAGGCGGAUCUCUGGACAGUUACUGACACUGAGGCGCGAAGGCCAGGGGAGCAAACGGG